GAUGAACGCUAGCGAUAGGCUUAACACAUGCAAGUCGAGGGGCAGCAUGGUCUUAGCUUGCUAAGACUGAUGGCGACCGGCGCACGGGUGCGUAACGCGUAUGCAACUUGCCUCACAGAGGGGGAUAACCCGUCGAAAGACGGACUAAUACCGCGUACACUCCAUCUUGGGCAUCCAAGGUAGAGGAAAUGAACUUCGCUGUGAGAUAGGCAUGCGUCUCAUUAGCUAGUUGGUGAGGUAACGGCUCACCAAGGCGACGAUGGGUAGGGGAACUGAGAGGUUGAACCCCCACACUGGUACUGAGACACGGACCAGACUCCUACGGGAGGCAGCAGUGAGGAAUAUUGGUCAAUGGGCGAGAGCCUGAACCAGCCAAGUCGCGUGAAGGAUGACUGUCUUAUGGAUUGUAAACUUCUUUUAUACGGGAAUAACAAGAGUCACGUGUGACUCCCUGCAUGUACCGUAUGAAUAAGCAUCGGCUAACUCCGUG
Molecule: ribosomal RNA, 490 nt
Filed under: uncultured bacterium
Lineage: Bacteria
Description: partial 16S ribosomal RNA
Rfam family: Bacterial small subunit ribosomal RNA
Source: RNAcentral